GGCUAUGGUUACUUUUGGGCAUUUGCUCCUGCCGAAGUGUGAAGCCGACGACUAGGUGCCUCUUUUCCCCGGGCGUGGCCCCCAGUGGGCGUGCCCCUGCCUAGGCGCUAUUGCGGGCUUUUGGCUGCUUUCAGGACAGGGACCCGUUGGGAUAACAGACCCCGCUGCGCCAUCUCAAAGCAACUACCCCUCUGCCGCGGCGCCAUCCACCGGAAACGGACCCAACCUCACGAGCACUAAUACUCUGAGUCGGCCACUCGCGGUCUACAGAUUCGUGUUCUUCAUAAGCUAAGCCUGACCCGUAGCUUCUAAUCCAGCCUGGUCAAACAACAGCGGCGGCGCAUCCCUUUCCCGCUAUUUUAAAACUGGGUCCGGUCUCUCCCAUGCCUUUGAUAUAACAGAACUUGCGGCGGCUGGCUGUGCCUACAGUCUGACCGCGCGGAGCAAUAGCUGGCGUCUGUUACUCACCGCAUCGGCCCCCUCCGGGUAACUAGGUGCUCCGCCAUUCUGGUGUCCUCCUUCGUCCCGCUGUUGGAGGAUGUCCUCCAAGCCUUCUUGGCCUCCGCCGCGCGAUUGCUCGCGC
Molecule: long non-coding RNA, 583 nt
Filed under: Volvox carteri
Lineage: Eukaryota; Viridiplantae; Chlorophyta; Chlorophyceae; Chlamydomonadales; Volvocaceae
Description: long non-coding RNA (VCAR_LNC001021)
Source: RNAcentral